AUGGAGGCGGCGGAUCCAGAGGAGGAGGCGAAGCAGCCUGCUCCGGGGGUCAACAUGGCAGAGGCGGAGGUGGAGUUCGCCGUCGCUCAAACCGCGAAGACGAAGGAGCAGCAGGCUAUGCUGGAGUCCAUCCAAGAUGAGGCCUAUGUGGAGGCCAACCGGCAGUUCCUUCGGCAGGAGCAGGCGGCGUCCGACGCGCUGUUUGCCGAACUCGACAUGGAAAUAGAGGAGGAGGCCGGAGCGAAGCAGCCGGAGCUGCAGCUGCUGCCCAUGUACCCGAAGUCGGGCACGGAGAUUGUCGACAUUUUCGAUGAGGAGUAG
RNAcentral lists this ribosomal RNA (321 nucleotides) under Triticum aestivum (bread wheat). RNAcentral's name for it is "partial small subunit ribosomal RNA". The record is from RNAcentral. Lineage: Eukaryota; Viridiplantae; Streptophyta; Magnoliopsida; Poales; Poaceae.